AACGAACGCUGGCGGCAGGCCUAACACAUGCAAGUCGAACGAGUAAGAGCCGUAGCAAUACGGAGUUCUGCUAGUGGCGCACGGGUGAGUAACGCGUGGGAACGUGCCUUGGAGUUUGGGAUAACAGUUGGAAACGACUGCUAAUACCGAAUAUUCCCUCAGGGGGAAAGAUUUAUCGCUCCAAGAUCGGCCCGCGUAAGAUUAGGUAGUUGGUGGGGUAAUGGCCUACCAAGCCUACGAUCUUUAGCUGGUCUGAGAGGACGACCAGCCACACUGGAACUGAGACACGGUCCAGACUCCUACGGGAGGCAGCAGUGGGGAAUAUUGGACAAUGGGCGAAAGCCUGAUCCAGCCAUGCCGCGUGAAUGAUGAAGGCCUUAGGGUUGUAAAAUUACUUUUGUCAGGGGAAGAGUAAUGACGGUACCCGUGCGAAUAAGCUCCGGCUAACUUCGUGCCAGCAGCCGCGGUAA
RNAcentral lists this ribosomal RNA (470 nucleotides) under uncultured bacterium. Its description in RNAcentral is "bacterial SSU rRNA". It matches the Rfam family "Bacterial small subunit ribosomal RNA", at positions 29 to 523 of the family's 1533-position model. The record is from RNAcentral.